UACAGAGAUCUCAAGCGUUAUCCGGAAUCAUUGGGCGUAAAGCGUACCGAUAGGUGGUCAUGAUAGUUUUGGGUAAAAGCCUGGAGCUCAACUCCAGAGUUUGCUCAAAAUACUUCACGACUAGAGGGGCAAAUAGGAAGCUGGAACGAACGGUGUAGUAGUGAAAUGCGUUGAUAUCGUUCGGAACACCGAAAGCGAAGGCAGGCUUCUGGGUGCCACCUGACACUGCUAGGACGAAAGCGUGGGGAGCGAAGUGGG
Molecule: ribosomal RNA, 258 nt
Filed under: uncultured bacterium
Lineage: Bacteria
Description: partial 16S ribosomal RNA
Rfam family: Bacterial small subunit ribosomal RNA
Source: RNAcentral